GNCCAUACUCCUACGGGAGGCAGCAGCGGGGAAUAUUGCGCAAUGGACGGAAGUCAGACGCAGCGACGCCGCGUGGGUGAGGAAGGCCUUCGGGUUGUAAAGCCCUUUUCAGGGGAGCGAGAAAGGACGGUACCCUUGGAAUAAGCGUCGGCUAACUACGUGCCAGCAGCCGCGGUAAGACGUAGGACGCAAGCGUUAUCCGGAUUUACUGGGCGUAAAGCGCCUGUAGGCGGUCAAGUAAGUCGGAUGUGAAAGCCCCGUGCUCAACGCGGGGAAGCCAUUCGAUACUGCGUGACUAGAGAACGGCAGAGGGAAACGGAAUUUCUGGUGUAGCGGUAAAAUGCGCAGAGAUCAGAAAGAACACCGAUGGCGAAGGCAGUUUCCUAGGCCGCAUCUGACGCUGAGAGGCGAAAGCUAGGGGAGCAAACAGGAUUAGAGACCCUGGUAGUCCUAGCUGUAAACGAUGGAUGCUAGGUGUGGGCCGGAAAGGUCCGUGCCGUAGUUAACGCGAUAAGCAUCCCGCCUGGGGAGUACGGCCGCAAGGCUAAAACUCAAACGAAUUGACGGGGACCCGCACAAGCAGCGGAGCGUGUGGUUUAAUUCGAUGCUACACGCAGAACCUUACCUGGGCUUGACAUGUAGGUGGUAGUGAAGUGAAAGCGGAGCGACCCUUCGGGGAGCCUACACAGGUGCUGCAUGGCUGUCGUCAGCUCGUGCCGUGAGGUGUCGGGUUAAGUCCCGUAACGAGCGCAACCCUUGUCCUUAGUUACAAGUGUCUAAGGAGACUGCCGGUGACAAACCGGAGGAAGGUGGGGAUGACGUCAAGUCAGCAUGGCCCUUAUGUCCAGGGCGACACACACGCUACAAUGGUCGGUACAAUGGGCAGCGCAGCCGCG
RNAcentral lists this ribosomal RNA (896 nucleotides) under uncultured organism. Its description in RNAcentral is "bacterial SSU rRNA". It matches the Rfam family "Bacterial small subunit ribosomal RNA", at positions 329 to 1259 of the family's 1533-position model. The record is from RNAcentral.